GUGCCAGCCGCCGCGGUAAUACCGGCAGCCCGAGUGAUGGCCGAUCUUAUUGGGCCUAAAGCGUCCGUAGCUGGCUGCGCAAGUCCGUCGGGAAAUCCACUCGCCCAACGAGUGGGCGUCCGACGGAAACUGCACCGCUUGGGACCGGAAGGCUCGAAGGGUACGUCCGGGGUAUGAGUGAAAGCCUGUAAUCCUGGACGGACCGCCGGUGGCGAAAGCGGCUCGGGAAGACGGACCCGACAGUGAGGGACGAAAGCUGGGAUCUCGAACCGGAUUAGAAACCCGAGUAGUCC
RNAcentral lists this ribosomal RNA (293 nucleotides) under uncultured bacterium. RNAcentral's name for it is "partial 16S ribosomal RNA". It matches the Rfam family "Archaeal small subunit ribosomal RNA", at positions 455 to 747 of the family's 1478-position model. The record is from RNAcentral.